Molecule: non-coding RNA, 29 nt
Filed under: Rattus norvegicus (Norway rat)
Lineage: Eukaryota; Metazoa; Chordata; Mammalia; Rodentia; Muridae
Source: RNAcentral
UAGAAGAAAACUUCCUCCAGUUUGUGGUC